Molecule: ribosomal RNA, 411 nt
Filed under: uncultured Corynebacterium sp.
Lineage: Bacteria; Bacillati; Actinomycetota; Actinomycetes; Mycobacteriales; Corynebacteriaceae
Description: bacterial SSU rRNA
Rfam family: Bacterial small subunit ribosomal RNA
Source: RNAcentral
UGGGGAAUAUUGCACAAUGGGCGGAAGCCUGAUGCAGCGACGCCGCGUGGGGGAUGACGGCCUUCGGGUUGUAAACUCCUUUCGACAGGGACGAAGCUUUUUGUGACGGUACCUGUAUAAGAAGCACCGGCUAACUACGUGCCAGCAGCCGCGGUAAUACGUAGGGUGCGAGCGUUGUCCGGAAUUACUGGGCGUAAAGAGCUCGUAGGUGGUUUGUCGCGUCGUCUGUGAAAUUCCGGGGCUUAACUUCGGGCGUGCAGGCGAUACGGGCAUAACUUGAGUGCUGUAGGGGAGACUGGAAUUCCUGGUGUAGCGGUGAAAUGCGCAGAUAUCAGGAGGAACACCGAUGGCGAAGGCAGGUCUCUGGGCAGUUACUGACGCUGAGGAGCGAAAGCAUGGGUAGCAAACAGG